CCUACGGGCGGCUGCAGUGGGGAAUAUUGGACAAUGGGGGCAACCCUGAUCCAGCCAUGCCGCGUGUGUGAAGAAGGCCCUCGGGUUGUAAAGCACUUUCAGUGAGGAAGAACGCCUGGUGGUUAAUACCCAUCAGGAAAGACAUCACUCACAGAAGAAGCACCGGCUAACUCCGUGCCAGCAGCCGCGGUAAUACGGAGGGUGCGAGCGUUAAUCGGAAUUACUGGGCGUAAAGCGCGCGUAGGUGGCUUGAUAAGCCGGUUGUGAAAGCCCCGGGCUCAACCUGGGGACGGCAUCCGGAACUGUCAAGCUAGAGUGCAGGAGAGGAAGGUAGAAUUCCCGGUGUAGCGGUGAAAUGCGUAGAGAUCGGGAGGAAUACCAGUGGCGAAGGCGGCCUUCUGGACUGACACUGACACUGAGGUGCGAAAGCGUGGGUAGCAAACAGGAUUAGAUACCCCAGUAGUC
This 465-nucleotide ribosomal RNA is filed under the name Vreelandella stevensii. RNAcentral's name for it is "partial 16S ribosomal RNA". It matches the Rfam family "Bacterial small subunit ribosomal RNA", at positions 338 to 795 of the family's 1533-position model. The record is from RNAcentral. Lineage: Bacteria; Pseudomonadati; Pseudomonadota; Gammaproteobacteria; Oceanospirillales; Halomonadaceae.